Molecule: unclassified non-coding RNA, 615 nt
Filed under: Sphingomonas sp. SLAU-24
Lineage: Bacteria; Pseudomonadati; Pseudomonadota; Alphaproteobacteria; Sphingomonadales; Sphingomonadaceae
Description: partial 16S-23S ribosomal RNA intergenic spacer
Rfam family: tRNA (bases 202-277)
Source: RNAcentral
CCCCAUGCUGAUUCCUCGUUUCUAGGAAUCGGCGGAAGCGCUGGCUCUUGUAGUCAGAAGAGCUUCCUCCAUUCCAAAGAACAUAUGCCGCCGUCCUCAUGUCCCUUCAUCACUGGAAAAUAGGCCUUGGCUGCAUGGUGUAUCUGCCUGGAAGGCUUUCGAGCGCCUCGCGCUGCUGUAAAAAGCGGAUUGCAAGGCACCGGGCCGGUAGCUCAGGUGGUUAGAGCGCACGCCUGAUAAGCUGUGAGGUCGUGAGGUUCAACUCCUCCCUCGCUCCACCAGACCGCUUCGCGGUCUGGAGUCUUUGAUUGGUGCUCACUCGCCGCCGAACGCAUCCGCGUUCUUGGCUAUUCGCCGCAUAAGCGGAUGACGGGCGCUAGAAGCGGAUUGGCGGCCUUAGCAAAGGCUUCGGCUUAGAUGGUGCAUGCAUCGACGUGAUGGUAACCGGGGCUUAGCCUCAUCUGGGGAGAGCGGGUUGAUUUGCAAGAUUCACGACAUCUGAUCAGAUACCGGAUAGGCUCCACCAUGCUCGUCGAUAUGUAGCAGAGAUGAGCAGCACCGGGUUCAUCGGGCAAAGGGGCUUGGUGAAUAUGAGAGCGGAGUGGCGCUCGCUCU